CUUGGAGCGUAAAUUUGCUGCCAAACGAAUCCUCGGAUCAACUGUGAGCAACUUUCUCCCUGAACACCUACGUGAGAAUGCUACAUUGACUACAGCUCAGCGUUCAACACCAUAGAGCCCUCAAAGCUCAUCACUGAGCUAAGGACCCUGGGACUGAACACCUCCCUCUGCAACUGGAUCCUGGACUUCCUGAUGGUCUGCCCCCAGGUGGUAAGGGCACGACUUCAACACCAUCAUUAAGUUUGCUGACGACACAACAGUGGUAGGCCUGAUCCCAGACAACAAGGAGACAACCUAUAGGGAGGAGGUCAGAGACCUGGCCAUGUGGUACCAGGAUAACAACCUCUCCCUCAACAUGAUCAAGACAAAGAAGAUGAUUGUGGACUACAGGAAAAGGAGGACAGAGUACGCCCCUAUUCUCAUCGACGGGGCCUGGUAUGGCAGUGAU
Long non-coding RNA from Oncorhynchus keta (chum salmon), 448 nucleotides. RefSeq lists it as uncharacterized. The transcript has 3 exons. The record is from RefSeq and is a predicted model, not a curated record. NCBI's taxonomy places the organism in Eukaryota, Metazoa, Chordata, Actinopteri, Salmoniformes, Salmonidae.